This 1292-nucleotide ribosomal RNA is filed under the name metagenome. RNAcentral's name for it is "bacterial LSU rRNA". It matches the Rfam family "Bacterial large subunit ribosomal RNA", at positions 1621 to 2925 of the family's 2925-position model. The record is from RNAcentral.
CCUAGAGAGAGAAGUAGUGCCCGUACCGCAAACCGACACAGGUAGAUGAGGAGAGAAUCCUAAGGCCGGCGGAAGAAUUGCAGUUAAGGAACUAGGCAAAUUGACCCCGUAAGUUCGCGAGAAGGGGUGCCUGCGAGAGCAGGCCGCAGAGAAUAGGCCCAAGCAACUGUUUAGCAAAAACACAGGUCUCUGCUAAAGCGUAAGCUGAUGUAUAGGGGCUGACGCCUGCCCGGUGCUGGAAGGUUAAGGGGAACACUUAGCGCAAGCGAAGGUGUGAACUUAAGCCCCAGUAAACGGCGGCCGUAACAAUAACGGUCCUAAGGUAGCGAAAUUCCUUGUCAGGUAAGUUCUGACCCGCACGAAUGGCGUAAUGACUUGGGCACUGUCUCAACUGCAAAUCCGGCGAAGUUGUAGUGCGAGUGAAGAUGCUCGCUACCCGCGAUUGGACGGAAAGACCCCGUAGAGCUUUACUGUAGCUUAGCAUUGAAUUCCGGUAUUGUCUGUACAGGAUAGGUGGGAGACUGGGAAACUAGGGCGUCAGCCUUAGUGGAGUCAACCUUGGGAUACCACCCUGACAGUACUGGGGUUCUAACAGGACGCCAUGAAUCUGGUGACUGGACAUUGUUAGGUGGGCAGUUUGACUGGGGCGGUCGCCUCCUAAAAAGUAACGGAGGCGCCCAAAGGUUCCCUCAGAACGGUCGGAAAUCGUUCGUAGAGUGCAAAGGCAGAAGGGAGCCUGACUGCGAGACAUACAAGUCGAGCAGGGACGAAAGUCGGGCUUAGUGAUCCGGUGGUACCUCGUGGGAGGGCCAUCGCUCAACGGAUAAAAGCUACCUCGGGGAUAACAGGCUGAUCUCCCCCAAGAGUCCACAUCGACGGGGAGGUUUGGCACCUCGAUGUCGGCUCGUCGCAUCCUGGGGCUGUAGUAGGUCCCAAGGGUUGGGCUGUUCGCCCAUUAAAGCGGCACGCGAGCUGGGUUCAGAACGUCGUGAGACAGUUCGGUCCCUAUCCGUCGCGGGCGUAGGAAAUUUGAGAGGAGCUGUCCUUAGUACGAGAGGACCGGGAUGGACUGACCUCUGGUGCACCAGUUGUUCCGCCAGGAGCAUGGCUGGGUAGCUAAGUCGGGAAGGGAUAAACGCUGAAAGCAUCUAAGCGUGAAGCCUCCCUCAAGAUGAGAUUUCCCAUAGCAUAAGCUAGUAAGACCCCUUGAAGAACACAAGGUUGAUAGGUCAGAGGUGUAAGUGCGGUAACGUAUUUAGCUGACUGAUACUAAUAGGUCGAGGGCUUGACCG